Long non-coding RNA from Leptonychotes weddellii (Weddell seal), 1577 nucleotides. RefSeq lists it as uncharacterized. The record is from RefSeq and is a predicted model, not a curated record. Lineage: Eukaryota; Metazoa; Chordata; Mammalia; Carnivora; Phocidae.
CGUGAGCCCGGGCACAAAGAGCCCUCUGCACUCGCGCCGCAGAACGGCGGACCCGAGUGACAGCUGGACGUAUCUCCCUGCCCACCCAUGGGGUUCCAGACAUGUCAACGUGACCACCACGACCCUAAGGACAUCAAAGGAGGAACCAAGGUUUGCCUUCUCUGGACAUUUCACGUACAUGGAGUCAGACAGCAUGUGGUCUCUUGUACAUGGCUUUUUUCACUCCAUAUUAUAUCUUCGAGGUUCAUCCAAGUCGUAAUGUAACAAUCGUUUGUUCCUUUAUACUGAGGCGUAGCUUUCAUUAUACGAACGUACGACUGUUUGCUUAUCGAUCCAUGAGGACAGGAUUUUAAUUUGAUCUGUGUUACUGGGGUAAAUGUACCCCCAUUCCAGGAGGCAUAUCCUGUUUCUGGGACAUCAGUGUUACACAGAGUUUUUCUCAACGGGUGAAGACAAUUUUGGGAGCACUCACCGUGUGCCAGGCACUGGCUAAACCUUGGAGAACAAUGAACAUUGAGUUGCAUAUCGGAGGACAGCAAGGCCCUGGGACAGAGGAGAGAGAAGGGGAUUUCCGAAUUCUUCCUGAACAUUCCUGACCACCCUCCCAUGGAAGCAGUCUUGCAGAUAAGUAUUCCAACUUACCAGCCUGCAGCCUACCCGCCUGCCCUCUCUCGGUCUGGCAAGAAAGUGUAGAACCUCAGAAUCCCCACGUGGGAGGGGAAAUGGGUGAUCAGCUUUUCUAGCCCUGUAGGUCACAAAGACCUUUAACCCAUUUCAUGGGGCCCCAGAGAGGGUGAUCGUCACACCCCUCUUUUGGCACGGAGGUUAGAAUGUUGUCAACUCCACCAUCAGGAACUUCUGUAGACUUGAGUUUAAUGACCUCAUCUCGAGAACCCGUAGAUCUGGUGUCAGAAGGAGUCAGGAGGGGACUGGGGACUCCUGGUGGCUCUUGUCAGUGCUGGCCCUUUGUCAUCACAUUCAUAAAACUUGGCCCAGGGCUCCUUUACCUGGCAGUGGAACGGGGAUGCCGGCACUGUGACUCUAGGGCCACAUUCUUUCCUUCAGAUCUGGACCAGUGCCCUGCGUCCCAGGUGCCCAGAGCAAGCUCUGAACACACACUGAGAGGCGCCCUGACUUUCCUGGCCCAGCUCUGCCAACCGAUGAAGAUAGCUUAGCUGUUACCAGAAGCAAAACCGAGAGAGGAUUCUGGGUCAGGAUUCGCAGGCAUUUGAUGGGGUUAGAAAAGUAUCCAAGGCUGAGCUGUAGGGCGCCCCUAUUUCCUCUCCACUGCCUCACACGUGGGUUAGUAUUGUGCACUCUGGGUGAAUGCAGGGCUGGAAGGAUCCCAGGGCACAGAGAGAGAGAAAGAGAGAGAGGGACAGACUUCCUAGGGCUACACAGGAUGGCAAAGCUGGAUCAGAACUCUGGAUUCCUGACUCUGUUCACUGCUUCCACUCAGCUGUUGCCGAGCUGAAUUUGUCUUCCUUUGUCCUGGGGCCCUUUCUGCUGUUGUUGGGGAACAAGGAGGUGGGUGAGGGAGCCCCCCUUAUCCCGAGGACAUUCUGGGAUGGGAGGAA